CCUACGGGUGGCUGCAGUGGGGAAUAUUGGGCAAUGGGCGCAAGCCUGACCCAGCAACGCCGCGUGAAGGAAGACGGCUUUCGGGUUGUAAACCUCUUUUCUGAGGGACGAAGAACGUGACGGUACCUCAGGAAUAAGCCACGGCUAACUACGUGCCAGCAGCCGCGUGAAUACGUAGGUGGCAAGCGUUCUCCGGAUUUAUUGGGUGUAAAGGGCGUGUAGGUGGGAAAGCAAGUCAGAUGUGAAAACUCAGGGCACAACCCUGGGCCUGCAUUGGAAACUGUUUGUCUUGAGUGCUGGAGAGGCAAGCGGAAUGCCGUGGGUAGCGGUGAAAUGCGUAGAUAUAAGGAGGAACACCAGUGGCGAAGGCGGAUUGCUGGACAGUAACUGACGCUGAGGCGCGAAAGCGUGGGGAGCAAACAGGAUUAGAUACCCGAGUAGUC
Molecule: ribosomal RNA, 443 nt
Filed under: uncultured bacterium
Lineage: Bacteria
Description: partial 16S ribosomal RNA
Rfam family: Bacterial small subunit ribosomal RNA
Source: RNAcentral